ACGCUGGCGGCAUGCCUAACACAUGCAAGUCGAACGGGAUCCUAGCUUGCUAGGUGAGAGUGGCGACGGGUGAGUAACACGUGGGAAUCUGCCUUUUGGUUCGGGAUAACCGCGGGAAACUGCGGCUAAUACCGAAUGCCCUCGAGAGAGGAAAGAUUUAUCGCCCAAGGAUGAGCCCGCGUAAGAUUAGCUAGUUGGUGGGGUAAAAGCCUACCAAGGCGACGAUCUUUAGCUGGUCUGAGAGGAUGAUCAGCCACACUGGGACUGAGACACGGCCCAGACUCCUACGGGAGGCAGCAGUGGGGAAUAUUGGACAAUGGGCGAAAGCCUGAUCCAGCAAUGCCGCGUGAGUGAUGAAGGCCCUAGGGUUGUAAAGCUCUUUUACCAGGGAUGAUAAUGACAGUACCUGGAGAAUAAGCUCCGGCUAACUCCGUG
RNAcentral lists this ribosomal RNA (435 nucleotides) under uncultured bacterium. RNAcentral describes it as "bacterial SSU rRNA". It matches the Rfam family "Bacterial small subunit ribosomal RNA", at positions 33 to 507 of the family's 1533-position model. The record is from RNAcentral.